RNAcentral lists this small RNA (27 nucleotides) under Bombyx mori (domestic silkworm). RNAcentral describes it as "ovarian small RNA-35249". Lineage: Eukaryota; Metazoa; Arthropoda; Insecta; Lepidoptera; Bombycidae. The record is from RNAcentral.
UGGUUUGUUGGGGUUCUAGCACUGUGG